Molecule: long non-coding RNA, 621 nt
Filed under: Hordeum vulgare
Lineage: Eukaryota; Viridiplantae; Streptophyta; Magnoliopsida; Poales; Poaceae
Description: long non-coding RNA (HVUL_LNC017598)
Source: RNAcentral
GUGUGUUCGUAAAGUAAUCGGCAUAGAGCAGGGCCUGUCCUUUUUCCCUGUUACGGUUCAGGUUGGGAGCACGGCCAGAGAGUGACCCCUGUAUCGAGGAAGCUACCGUUGAAUGUGGUCGUGAACCACCACUGCAGCCACCACAUAGAGGAUUUAGUCCUCCAAAAACCACCCCGAUCUCUCCUGCGUUGAUUUACCCACUGAGCAGACAGCGGCACGUACGUCCAGCAAGUAGUAUUUACCCACCGAGUAUCUCAGAUCGAUCGCCGCUGGGGCGUCACGCAUGCAUGCGUAGCCUAUGAUCCUAGCACGAGACACCAACGGCCAUUAGCAGUUACGCACCACUCACUACACUUUAACAACUGGCCGGAGCAAAUUAACGACUGACGAGAGAAGAUAAAAAAGCGAGACGUAGCUGGUAUUCCUUCCAUCUUCGUCACUCCUUUCCGUCAAAGCCAUGCAUAGCCUUUUCUUGAGGCAACAAAAGGCGGUGGCCAAGGAGGGAGUAGCCGAUCGACGCCGGCCAUGGGUAGUUGAGUACCUACCUAGGUAGUGGAUGCGUAGUGGAAUUAGAGGAGACAGACGGAGGAAAGGGAAAAGCGAAAGGAAGGAUCGGUGAAG